Long non-coding RNA from Brassica oleracea var. oleracea, 1119 nucleotides. RefSeq lists it as uncharacterized. The record is from RefSeq and is a predicted model, not a curated record. Lineage: Eukaryota; Viridiplantae; Streptophyta; Magnoliopsida; Brassicales; Brassicaceae. The transcript is spliced from 6 exons.
UCUACAGACUCGAUGAGAUGGGUGUCAUCUCUCUCCUUCGACGGUCGCAGCGUGACGCCUGAAUUUCUCUGUGCAAUCUGAAACGGUCCGAUUAAUUUCUUCAUGAUUAAUCUCAUUUAUUCAGACGCCCACGAUGUGGUCUUGAAUGCGUUGUUAGAUCUACGAGGCUGUAUGCGUUCGGUAUAAAUAUAUGUGAGUAUUUCUCACCUUGAACUCAUCAUCUCUUCGUAUCUCUUAUACUAACGUGGAAACUAUUUUCAAAUUAUUUACCACCGUAUAUCCUCUCCGCUCCUUUGCAUUGUUUUUCUUUCUGAACGGAACGAGCCAGAACGGACUCCGGCGGUGGAUUGCAUUUCCGGCAAGCUGCGGCGAUUAGAUGGCGUUAUAACCGGAAGAACCAUGCGGUUUGCUAAAGGAGUUUCUGUCGGAAGGCGUUCCUGUUGAUUCUCAAAGCAUGCCAUUGAUUGGGCAGCUGGCCAUGACCAAAGAGAUGCUGUGCAAGUUUGUUAGAACACAACGACGAGGUCUCAUUGAACGGCAAUAUGGUUUGUGCUUAGACAGAGACGCCUCCAGCUCCUCGAUACAGAUGUGGCCAAGUACUUGGUGGCGCAGAGUUACGGAUCUGAUUUGUCGUCGUACUCUUUUGGAACACAUCAGAAAGGUUUAUUCUUUGGACUGGACACCUGAGAUGAACCAGAUUGUCAGUGCAUCUCAACAAGACACGCUCAGUUAGAAGAGAAAAGUGAUGGAAAGGGGAAAGACACAACCAAAUGGCCAAUUGAUAAAGUGCUGAAAAAUGCAAUCGUUUAGAUCUUGAAAAGGAUGUUCUUCUUCAAUGGCUGCCUUGAGUUUACCGUCUCUACCAAAUGUCCUUAUCUCAGACACUUGUGGAGAAGCUUAUGGUCUCUGUCAAAGCUGCAGAGCCUUUUCCUUCAAUCGUUGCAGCAUCUAAAACUCUUGCAGUGGUUUCAUCUGGAUUGUGUGGAGAUCACGGAGAUGCCAUACAUUUGACAACAAUAAUGCUACCGAUAUCAAUGAACAUAAAAUUUUCUCCAACUCUCUCUUUUUCAUGUUACCACUCCAUUAAGAAGCUAUCUAGAGAUUUUUUUUUUCUGUCAA